UACGUAGGGUGCGAGCGUUAAUCGGAAUUACUGGGCGUAAAGCGCGCGUAGGUGGUUUGUUAAGUUGGAUGUGAAAGCCCCGGGCUCAACCUGGGAACUGCAUCCAAAACUGGCAAGCUAGAGUACGGUAGAGGGUGGUGGAAUUUCCUGUGUAGCGGUGAAGUGCAUUGAGAUCGGAAAGAACACCAACGGCGAAAGCGCUCUGCUGGGCCGACACUGACACUGAGAGGCGAAAGCGAGGGGAGCAAAUGGG
RNAcentral lists this ribosomal RNA (253 nucleotides) under uncultured bacterium. RNAcentral describes it as "partial 16S ribosomal RNA". It matches the Rfam family "Bacterial small subunit ribosomal RNA", at positions 524 to 776 of the family's 1533-position model. The record is from RNAcentral.